AUGAUGUUAUUUGCUUGCUCAGGCCUAGCUAUACCAUCCGGGACAACUAAACUAGAGCUGAGAAGAUUUGUGACUUCAAGACGUUUGGUUGAGGAAUUCAAUAAAAACAGAAAUACAGAUGAUAAAUUGAGAUUGAUGUGUGCCUUCCAGAUAAUACGCAUAUGGAUGGGUUCUUGGGACUAUAUGAUAAAGAUAUUGCUAUUGUCACGUCCUGUAAUUGCAGCUGCUCGUAUGUUUGGAUCGGGCCGUUUGAUGGUCAAAUUGGGGCGUCUGACUGGAGACAGUCGUGCAAGAUGUGAUGGAAUCACAGAGGCUGCACUUGGAGGGCCGCUCGUCAGUCAUGAUGGGAAGUUUCUUGGGGUCAUCCUUUGUGUCGAGGGCACUUCUUCUUUGUUCCUAUCACUGAUGGCCCUUCGUGAACGCUUGGAGCACUUUCAGUUACUCAGUUCUAAAACCAGAGACUUCCGUAGAUAUUCCUUGCCUGCAGAUGUAUCAAUCAUAAUCCCUUCAGGAUUCUGGUUUAUAAUUAAGAAGCUAGAGUCAGUUGGCUAUCCCAUGCCACCACCACUUGUGCUUGAAUUCAAUGGGAAAUUGCUCGAGACAUUUGAGGAGGAGUUUGGUGAAUUACUUGCAUGGAAAGGGUAUCCUUACGUCGUUUCAAACCCCUGUUCUAGGGAGUAUGUUUGGGCGCUACUUCCAAGAGACGUUGUUACAAAUAUAUCCCCAAGUGUUGUCAAACUUGCUUCAUUCAAUGGAAACAUCAGGUCUUUUGCAUGCACAGGCUUGCUUAUAAAGUGGCCUGGAGCUGAAGGCACAAACACUGUCAUUCUCACUUCGGCAAGUUUAGUUAGAAGUCGUUAUGAUCACUUCAAGAUUGAUAAUAACUUAACGAUUGACGUGUUUCUCCCACCAAAACAACAUGCCAAGGGGACUUUGGUAUUCUACCAUUUAAAUACUAAUCUUGCUGUUGUCAGUCUUGAGAAGCGUAUCCAUGGCAUUCGUCCAUUUGAUAUUUGCCGUAAAGGGGAUUUAUCUAAACCAGUAGUAGCUAUAGCGCGUAAAAUUGAAGCAGGGUUUUUAAUGGCCUCAAAGGGUGAAGUGAUUUACGGCCAGACCUGCAGCAUUUAUGUCGAAAAGCUUAUGCUUUCCACUUGUAAAAUCAACAAGGCUGGGAUUGGAGGUCCCCUUAUUAACUUUGAUGGGGCAUUUGUUGGCAUGAACCACUAUGAUGGAAGUGAAGUAACUCCUUUCCUGCCAAGGCGUGGGAUUGUUCAAAUUCUGAAAGGAGAGAUUAAUUGGCGAAGACAAAGUGGGCUCUCCAUGGACAUACUGCAUGGUGUUGGAUAUAGGAGUCAGAUAGACCGGCGAAGGUGGCCUGUGCCUGAGCCGUAUUGGCACCAUGAUCUACUUGGUAUGGACAAGUAUGAUUUACACCCGCAUGUUGGAAGACAACUCUAG
Molecule: ribosomal RNA, 1458 nt
Filed under: Triticum aestivum (bread wheat)
Lineage: Eukaryota; Viridiplantae; Streptophyta; Magnoliopsida; Poales; Poaceae
Description: partial small subunit ribosomal RNA
Source: RNAcentral